This 1747-nucleotide long non-coding RNA is filed under the name Mus musculus (house mouse). RNAcentral's name for it is "long non-coding RNA chr13:114127252-114128999". Lineage: Eukaryota; Metazoa; Chordata; Mammalia; Rodentia; Muridae. The record is from RNAcentral.
CGGAUAAAGCUUCUUGCUUUCAGAGUGGCUGGCUGGAUCAGUCAGGACCCAGCAAGCCAGCCAUAAGAAACACUUACCUGAGCAGGAGGAAUUGGUGGUUCCACCAGGCUUUAAACUUACCCAAUAAAUUCCCAUCGCUCUCUGUCCAUACAGCUGGAUUCUAGAAGAACGUUAGAAUUUUAUUUUAAAGUAGAGGUUUGAAUAGCUAAAAGAUUAAAAAGCGGUGUGAUGUGACCCUUUGGUUUUGAGGAAUCCCACCCUUAGGUCACUCAUGCUGACAUUAAAGGGCCCAUUUUAAUGUUUUAUAAGCAGCAUUAGAAGAAAUGAAGUUGCAUAGAAAACUCAAGCUGAGGUAACCUUGAUUGUAUCUUGUUAUGUAGACAUUUAGUUAUAUAGAUACCCUGGGAGUAUAACUUGCUCCUGGACCACAGGCUCAAGAGGAAAGGUGGGGAUACCCGUCAUGGGACUUUGCACUCACACAGGCUAAUAGCUGUUAGCAAGCUCCUCUGAGGAAGAAUAUGGUUUCCGGCAGGACUGGGUAGAGAGAGGCAUCAUAUCCUGUCUGGCUCUGGAUGAACGGCUUCUCUCUGUGUGAGCUUUCAUUGUGGUGUGAGCUGGAUGCAGAUGGUGAUGCAUUGUCUAACUGGGUGGUAAGGAAAACUGCGUGCCUGUAUUGGCUGGGGUCACAGGAGUUACCAUUCAGUCCACCAUCUCUGUGGCUUUCCACUGUGUCACCGCACAGUCUAGUAUGGGGGUGGAGGGCACUUGCUAUCCCAAGAUCCUGAUAUUUUCUAUCUUACUGCACGCUCUCUGGAGCCGUAGGGCCUGCUUUGUUCAGGUAUUCUUGAAACGCACAAAGAGCACGCCCACAACCUGGGGCUAUUUCAUGGAGAACCCCAAGGGAGAGAUGGCGCUUUUCAUUAUUUGUACCCCAUCCCCAAGAUUGAGGACCUAGCCAGACUCAACCACAGACACACAAGCUGUGAGGUGUAAUGAUGCCCUUUGCGCUGCAGGAGGAAGGCUCAGAUGGUGCUCGAGUGUAGAUUCUGCCACAGUCAUCAAAGGCACCUGCCCAGGACCUGGCACAAAGGAAUUAAAUCGAUCUGUUUGUUUGCUUUGUUUUUGUUUUUAUUUUUUAAAACAACUUCCAGAAGCCCUCUUAAACAACUACAGCAUUGUUGGCCAUUCUCACAGCAAGUCAGAUCACAAAAACCUCAACUCAUCUUUUCAUGGAAUUUAUUUAUUUUUGUUUUAUCUAAGUGGUUUUCAUGUGUGCAGUACCCAUAGACACCAGGAGAGGGCAUAGGAUCACCUGGAACUGGAGUAAAGUAAAGUUGUCAGCCUGCUUGUGGGUGUUGGGAACUGAAUCCUAGUCCUCUGUAAAACCAGCCUGUGUUCUUAACCACGGAGUCGUCUCUCUAGCCCUAGGGCAGCUAUUUCUGCACAAAACAGUAAAAACAUAAAUCAUGAGAGAAAACUAAGCAAAAUACAAAUUUGGAGCCAAAACAAACAUACCAAUCGUGUGAGAAUCUUUCUUCUAACCCAUGACUGUAUCCAUACCUUGUAUGCAUGGGGAGAAGGUGUUCUAAGUUUGGGCUAUUUUACAGAAAAAAAAAAAUAAUAAUUUGAAUAUGAUAGCCACCGAUCUGACCCUCCAAAAUUUUUAAAAUUAGUUGCAGGGAGUAAGGCUACGUCUUCUCAUAAGAUUUUGCUUUAACAACCGAAACAACAAACUGUAUAAGGAAGG